AGUGAACGCUGGCGGUAGGCCUAACACAUGCAAGUUGAACGGCAGCACAGUAAGAGCUUGCUCUUACGGGUGGCGAGUGGCGGACGGGUGAGGAAUACAUCGGAAUCUACUUUUUCGUGGGGGAUAACGUAGGGAAACUUACGCUAAUACCGCAUACGACCUACGGGUGAAAGCAGGGGAUCUUCGGACCUUGCGCGAUUGAAUGAGCCGAUGUCGGAUUAGCUAGUUGGCGGGGUAAAGGCCCACCAAGGCGACGAUCCGUAGCUGGUCUGAGGGGAUGAUCAGCCACACUGGAACUGAGACACGGUCCAGACUCCUACGGGAGGCAGCAGUGGGGAAUAUUGGACAAUGGGCGCAAGCCUGAUCCAGCCAUACCGCGUGGGUGAAGAAGGCCUUCGGGUUGUAAAGCCCUUUUGUUGGGAAAGAAAAGCAGCAGGUUAAUACCCCGCUAUUCUGACGGUACCCAAAGAAUAAGCACCGGCUAACUUCGUG
RNAcentral lists this ribosomal RNA (492 nucleotides) under uncultured bacterium. Its description in RNAcentral is "partial 16S ribosomal RNA". It matches the Rfam family "Bacterial small subunit ribosomal RNA", at positions 29 to 507 of the family's 1533-position model. The record is from RNAcentral.